UAAUCAGAUCUUGCUUGGUAAUGCCUUAG
This 29-nucleotide non-coding RNA is filed under the name Mus musculus (house mouse). The record is from RNAcentral. Lineage: Eukaryota; Metazoa; Chordata; Mammalia; Rodentia; Muridae.